GGGAACAAUGAGGUGUUUCAAGUUCCUCAUUGUUCCCUAUGGCUGAAGCAGGCAGUGUACAAGUUUUGCAACCCUACCUUGAAAAACACCAUAGAACAGAAGCACACAGUCUCUCCAGACACGGAACACAGUAUUUUUCUAAAAACAGUCCAAAUAUGGCCAAAAAAGCCAGCUACAGUGCUUGUGCUACAGUAAAAUCAUUUGCACAAGUUGCUGUCACAUACAAUUAUGACUCCUUACUUCUGCAUUGCAACAGCUUCCACAGCACAGCAGCACUCUUAGCAGCAGCAAGCAGAGCCAUAAACUCAACUACAGUAAUGUCUUCAGCCACAUUUUGACUGAGCACACCUUUCAAUGCACAUUGCAGAGCAAUGAGUGAAGCACAAGUUAGUCUCAAGGCUGGACAUGGAGCUCAAUCACAGCAAUCACCAAGAAAUAUUACUACACACAGACAGAGAGCUGAGCGGUCAUUGUCCACUUCUCGCUACAAUACCAUCUCACAGGCCAAACCACAACUCAAGGAUGGCAGGCAGGCACCCAAGAUCUGCCUUUGUCAAUCUGAGAUCAAACAAAAUCAGAUAGUUAACAGCACAGCAAGCACAUUACACUUACUCAGUACUGAGAAAACUGCAAAAUCAAACCUACCUUCCUUCCAUCCUACUGCCAGAGAGAGACAGGAGAACAGAGCAGUCAUGGCCUGAUAGACCAAUGGUCUGACAAGAAACAAAACUUGUACUCUUACCACGGGAAGAUGUCUUCUUUCUUCUUCUUCAAUGUACAUCCCUGCCUGUGUUUGGAUAAUACCAUGGCCUCAGGUUGGUGCUGGGCCCCAGCUGACAGAUGGACAAAUGAAACAGGGCACUUAGUCCAUCAUCUCAUCAGAUAUGGCAUUGGGGUGUGUGUGUGUGUGUGUGUGUGUGUGUAGUACUAAUGGACAGACUGUACUGUCCAAGGUGGGGUGAGUUGCCAGUCUUGUUGCAGUGGGUGGGGAUGACCAUGAGUAACUCAACCUGCAUGGCCAGCUCAGGAUAGCCCAACAAAAGGGAGGUUGGCCUUCAAGACCAGCUGUUCCACCAUGUCAAGACCCAUGCAUGUGCAGUAGGUUGUCACCAUGCCCCCAGCCAUAGAGAACACCCUUGCUCUGGAUGCUGGUUAAAGCGCACAGCAGGAGCCUUCCAGGAACCACGUCCAAGACUAGCCAGACUGGGCGACGCAUUAGCCAAAUCUGGAUUUGCACUGCUGAAAGGCUCAGUGGGCUCCUCCCAUACCCCUGGCAAGAUGCCAAGAAAUCCCUCCAUGAACCACAGGGUAGAAUGUGGAGGUGGAACCAUCAGCUCAUUUUGCCCUGCUAGGGAUACCACAGCCAUCUAAUGGCGCCGUGGGAAAUGACUUAACUAGCAAGCCAGAGGUUGCCAGUUUGACUCCCUGCUGGUAUGUUUCUCAGACUAUGGGAAACACCUAUAUCGGGCAGGAGUGAUAUAGGAAGAUGCUAAAAGGCAUCAUCUCAUACUGUGUGGGAGAAGGCAAUGGUAAACCCCUCCUGUAUUCUACCAAAUACAACCACAGGGCUCUGUGGUCGCCAGGAGUCGACACUGACAGCACACUUUACUUUAGAGAUACCAUACUGCUGGGACAGGAAGUGGCGGUGUUGCUGCCACUAGGGAUAGACUGCAUUCUAGUAGUAGGUGCUCCAGUACCCUCAUCCUGGUUGCACCCCAGCCUCCCUUCCUCUCCUCACCUAACCUCUACAACCAGGAGGCUCCUCCACUUGGUUAGGUUGACCAAUUUGCCAUUCAUCCUUGGGUCACUUAGGCAGGACAAAAUGUUCUCUGCCAAUACACCCAAGGGUAUGCUCAGUCAAUCCACAACUCUGCCAAGGCGAUUGCUUCCUUAGUGAUCAGCAUGGUCUGGAUUCUCACCCGUGGUUUUCACAAGGAAAUGUGUGGCAGGCAAAAUCUGGCUCAGCUUGUCUGGGCACACAAGCCAUCUGUGGCAACAAAGAAUGGCUCAAGUGCCAAGACUAUCUCAGAAAGGAGUGCCCAAUCCUGGUUGGAUAAGUCAUACACUUCCAAGUCAUGCUUCCUUGCCAAGGCGUGGGCGGCUGGCUCUUGCUCCUGCAUGGUCACAGACGGCUCAACUGGGGGUGGGGUGGGGGGCAGCACACUGCCAAUAGGGAUUGGAGAAGAUGGUGAGAGCGAUCUGUCUGGGCUAGCAACCGAUGACACCUCCUCCUCUGCUGCCACAUGAAGAGCUUCUUCCCUGAAAGGGGAGGACAUGCCUCCCACAUUCUACCUCAGCUGCCACAAGCAGCAGCACUGCAAGAUCACACUCCUUGGGAAGGGAGAGCCUGCACACAUCACCAGUGGGGUCGACUCAGGAAGUAGGCUCAUCAUCACCCCUUCCUCUGCCUGCCACCCAACCUUGACUCAGUUUUGCACCCUGCUGGAUAUCUAGGCCCCCCCCCUUUUUAAAUAGCCCUAACUUUGGGGCGGGGGAGAAGAAGUGCCAUUAGGGGCCAUGUAGACCCAGGGGUGGUCUAUUUAUGCUCUUUGUGCCACACACAGCACUAUGUAUAGCACUGUGAUACAUACAGAGAAGCUAGAAAAAUUAACCCACCCACCCCAAUAAAGAAGCAGCCUCUAUUGGGAGGGGCUAUUUUGAGGGCAAAAGCAACAAUAGGGCAAAUCUAAGCAAUGGAAAAGGAAAGGGCAAGGGAACCCAAACCCACCUACAAGUACCUCAUCCCACCCUCCCCAAACUAGGCUCUAUUUAAAGAACUCUAAGUUAUAUAACCUGAUCAAGGCGGCGGGUGGGGUGGAUCACUUUCCAGCAUCUUUGGCUUGAGUCUGCCAGGUGUUGCUCUCAGAGGCACUCUUGGGUCAAGCAGACACCAGGACUCAACAGCUGGGGAAAGGGCAGAUGGGCUCCAGUCAGGCACCACCCACCCAAUCAACUAAAAAACCCGGGUGGUGGGGGAGAAGAUGGAAUAGACCUUAGCAGGCUGGGCACCAGACAGAAUGUACCAGCCUACAAAAACCAAAUAUGAACAUACCAGGCACACACAGCAGCAGCAAAGAUGCAGAUUGGGGCUGCAAAAGAAUGUGUGUGUGGGAGGGAAUCACAACAUCUCAGUUAUUAAAGCCACAUGGGGCUACAAGCAAUAACUGGGGGUUACUGGUACAAUUUAAAAUAAAAAAUAAAAUAAAAGCAGUUGUUGGCACUGCAAAUUAAAGAGAUUUUUUUAAAAAGGGAUAAGCCAGCAGGCAUCAGUGUUCCCUUUAAAGCAUGUGCACGCUCACAUGGGUUUUGAUGUCCACUCAGUUGAUUUUAGAUCCCGCUCAGGUUUAAUUAGGAAGGUCCUUCUCUGAAUGCAUGUGCCUUCUGCCGCCCAGAACAAAACUCAUUCUGCAUACAGAUGAAAAAAAUUAGAGAGAGCACUGGUAGGCACUCUCUGUACUCACUGAGCCAGGCAGGCCCAGACCACUACCACUAGUACCUGUAAACCAGUCAGCAAGGGAAAAAUUGCUCUCCAAAAUGGCCACUUGGCACUCAAAUCAAUUCAAACUGUAAUCAGGCCCUUUGUUUUAGGGGCAAUUUGAUUAGCAUUCAAACCACCCAAUAGGAACAUAGGAAGUUGCAAUAUACCGAGUCAGACCAUUGGUCUAUCUAGCUCAGUAUUGUCUUCACAGACUGGCAGCGGCUUCUCCAAGGUUGCAGACAGGAAUCUCUCUCAAUCCUAUCUUGGAGAUGCUAGGGAGGGAACCUGGAACCUUCUGCUCUUCCCAGAACGGCUCCAUCCCCUAAGGGGGAUAUCUUACAGUGCUCACACUUCUAAUCUCCCAAUCAUAUGUAACCAGGGUGGACCCUGCUUAGCUAAGGGUCUGACCAGCUCUCCUCUCCCCAAUUCAAGCUCAAAUCGAUUUGCACAUCUCUACACUGUUCUAAAGAUUGGUACUUUUUUCUCCGAAGUGUCAAUUUUCAGUGUCAAUUACUGUAGCUGCAACAAUUUUUACCAGAUCUCCUUGAAAUUAGCCACAUUUGUAGACCUCAUCAAGUAGACCACACCAGCCAAGUUUCAAGUUAUCAGCUCAAUACUUGUCAUAUUUAUAAGCAAAAGCAUUUGAGGCUUAUAAUGGCAGAACUUUUUUUUUUUUUUUUUUGCUACUUGCCUUUACUGAAGGGCAUUCCAGAGUCCCUUUCCCUAAUAUUUUAUAGACUGUUUUCCAGCAAAGUUCAUAGUGUGGUUUACACAGCAAAAGAAAGGGUAUGGUUCCAAAGAGACUUGUUACCUAAAAAGAAAUGCGACACACUAGCAACAGCCACUGAAAGGGAAGUUAUGCUACUCCCUGUGCAGAAAAAAAUGACAGUCAGAACUUUAAAAAGGUGCCUAUUUGUCCAGUUAGAAACUAGAGAAGCUAGCUGUCUAACCUACUACAAGGGAAGCUUAUGACCCUCUUAUGAAUGUGUGAACUACUUUCCUUUGUAAAGCAAGAACCAUGGUUGCCAUGGUCGUCAUACAGCGUAACAGCUGAUGUAUUCAUAUUAUGACUUGAUAAUGGGGCCAGGCAGAAGUCAACAAGCCAGCGCAGGGAUUAUCCACUAUCCAUCUGCGUGACUAUUUAAUAUUUUAUGCCUAGUAACUACUUGAUCAUACAGCCACCUAAUGGCUCAGCGGGGGAAUGACUUGACUAGCAAGCCAGAGGUCGCCAGUUCGAAUCCCUGCUGGCAUGUUUCCCAGACUAUGGGAAACAUCUCUAUCGGGCAGUAGCGAUACAGGAAGAUGCUGAAAAGCAUCAUCGCAUACUGUGCAGUAGGAGGCAAUAGUAAACCCCUCCUGUAAUCUACCAAAGACAACCACAGGGCUCUGUGGUUGCCAGGAGUCAAUACUGAUUCAACGGCACAUUUUACCUCUACAACUACUUGAUCUCUGCAACUGGCUCAGUCAGUACUGCAAUUAUAAAUACUGAGGAUUGUCAGAGUUAAAGAACAGGGACAUGUGUGUAUUAACAUGACAAAGAAGAUCUAUGUGGACCAUGCCACUACAAAGUUACAGGGCAUGGUUUGAUGACACAUAAUAUAGCUACUUUGCUGAAGCUAAGCAGGUCUGGUCAACACACAGAUAGGUGACCAUUUCAUUUAAAAAAAUAAUUAUAUGAGCAGAUAUAAACCACACAUUUAACGCUCUACCUGGCCCUCAAAGUAUCUUGGGAAAAUGACUUUCAACAGGAAAGCAAAGACCAGAAGUGGUUGAACAUAUGGAAAUGCAAGCCAGUUACUUCCUUCAAGGCCCAAAUUAAGAAGAACUUUUUCAUCUUUUUCAUUUUACCUGACAUCAGUAAAAUUAGCACACAUUCAUAAAAACUGUUCACCAUUUUGCUGGAGUGGUUGUGGGAUGAAGUGAACCUAUUUUCAUCUUUGGUGGACCUGCCCCGGGGUCUUGCACUUUUGGUCAGAAGUAUUCAUGGAGAUGAGCAAGAUCACAAAUGAGAAAAUAAUAAAUCUUCUUAAUUUUAUCUCAUCUGUGCAUCUUGGGUCUCAGAGGUGGUAGAAACUUAACCAGAACCAGAUAAAGGUUCUGCAAUCUCUGAAUGCUUCAUUCCUAAUUGGGAGGAGGAAAGUUCUGUUAGGUUUUUUUUAAAUCUUACAGUAGUCAACAACAUCUGGGAAUCCCUGUUCGGGGGAACACUGAUUUGUAAGUGCCACGGAAAGAACAGAGAAGUGAUACCUCUUUCAAAGGCAACAUAUCAUGUCUGUGUCCACUGCAGCAAGCUUAGUUCUCCUAAUCUUACAUCAGUGAACACAGACACACCACUGGAAAUAUAUUACUGAGAUCUGGCAUGGAAGUCAAGUGAUGCUUUGUCCCUUGCUUCAUAGAAUCAGUAGCACAUCUCCAUUGCAAUGUAUAGGCCCUUCCUGCUUACUCGACUUGAAUCCCUUUAUGCACAUUGCACAUCACUACUGUCCUCUUAGUGUGUAAUUGCCAGAUAGGAUAUCACAUGCACAUACUUUGGUUUAAAAUGAGUUAAAUUGCUUACAAUUUUCAGUCAUGCUCUAAAAAGCAUGGAAAUUGCAAGCUGAGAUGGCCACCUUAGCUUCCAUGCCAUGUAAUCAGUAAAGAUUUUGUACUCUCUUGUAUAUUGUACAACCUUUUCAAAUUGGGCUCCAUGCAUCCACACUGUCUCGAUCUUUCAGUGCAACCGUUUGCUGAGGGACAGAUGCAUCCAGGUAAACCUUUAAUGGAUGCAAUAUUCCCAAUCACUACAAAUGCACCUGUUAAAAGAGGACUGCUUUAUUCUAUCCUCCCCUUGUGUUUUUUUCCUUUCUCUUUUUAAAAAAAACCAAGGAUUUUUCCAUUAUUCUUUGUUCCAUAUUUUUUUUAGUAAGAUCAUUUUAUUAUCCUCCCCUUAUUAACAGUAGGACUUGCUCUGGAGUAAGCAUACAAAAUUAUUACUGUAAGGCAGCUACUGGAGACAUAAAAAGCAGCUCAGAAAGAUGGUAAACUCCACCCUGAUCAAGAGCCAACUUGGACCCACAAGUUAACUUGCUAUGGUGGCUUAACUGGUCCACACAGCUAAAGAGAAAGGCAGGCAGAAGCCAACUUGAGCAAUAAGUGUGGCUCCCUGCAGAAGUAAUUUGAACAAUUAACAUAUUUGUUUUAAGAGAGACUUUAAAAAACAACUGCAGAAAUACUCAGACAGAAGUCAUGCGGGUGGAAGGAGGAAAUACUCAAAUGUAGAAUGUUGAUGUCCAGCAGCAAGGUAGAUAGACUCAAUUACAACAGCAAUGAAUGCACCACUGAGAGAGCUUAAAGGCCAAGUUGAAGGCAGAUCAUCCUGGAGAGAAUCUAUGUGGUAGCUAAGAGUAGACACCGACCUGAUGGCACCUAAAUCAAUCAAUCAAGUGGUUAGCUGGCUACUGUACUAGAAAAAGAUGGAGGUGGGUGACGUUAUGGCAUGGGAACAAGAGGAAAAUAAUCCCCCCCCUCAAAUUGGAGUAUGAAGGAAACAGACAAGCUUGUAUGAAGAUAAGCAUACGAGAAGAAGCAUAUGCACCCAGAGAAUGGUCCUAAGACACAAGCUGCUGUCAUAAAGCAGAUCUCUGCUUGGAAGCCAGGGUGAACAAAAUAGUUCUAAAAUAACCUAGUUUAAAAUGAAAUCUGGUCUGGACUUAUUGCAAACAAAUAAUAAUCUUAAAUCUGCUUAUGACCCUCUCACAAACUUAUGGAAUACUUAAGUUGAUAAGCUGCUUUUCUUGGUAAAGCGAGGAACCGCUAACUGCAGGAAGAGGUGAUGAUGGAUGGCGAUUCCCUAAUAAAAGGUGCAGAGGUGGUGUGAAAUGUGCUGUCUCCCUGGUGCUCAGAUCCAGGAUGCUACAGACAAGUUGCCGAGUCUUAAGUCCACUGAUCAUUAUCCUGUCCUUGCUUAACCAUGAGGAAAUGAACACCACUGCUCAACACAGCAAUGAAGAUAUAUCUUUUUACAAGGCUAUGGGAAUGAAGGUGAAGGAACCUGGAGCUCUGGUGGUCUUGUCAACUCUCCCCUUUAAAAAAAGGAUACAAACAGAUCAUAAUCCUUCCUGAAGACCUUCAUCCUGUCCAAGUAGAAGGUCAAUGUUCUCCUCACAUCCAAUGUAUGUAGUUUCAGCUCUAAAUCCAUUUGUGGGUUGCAGAAGAAGGAGGUAAGUAUGUUAUCUUGGUUAAUCUGGGAGUUUGUAUUUAUUUUUGGUAUGAAGUUUAAGUCUUUACGUAGAACAACUUUCUCCUUAUGGAAUCAGAUGUAAGGUACAUCUGCCUUUAGCGCAUACAACGCGGUAACUCUUCUCACAGUUGGCAUUGCAAUCAGAAAUGUUUUUAUCGACAGAAACUUAAAAUAACACUUUUGCUGUUGGUUCAAAGGGACAGUUCAUCAGGCCUGUUAGAACUACUGAUAGACUACAUUGGCUCACUGGUUUCCACACUGAAGGGUAUAAAUUUUCUAACCCUUUUAGGAACUUGUUGCAAAGCAGAUGUCAGAACACAGUCCAUCAAUCUAUGCCAGUGUGGCAGCUGGAAAUUGCUGCUUUAUGUACUUUAAUUGAGGAAUUGGAAAAACCAGUCAACUUUAAGUUGAACAGGUAAGUCAAUAUCAGAGUUAUUGUAGCAGAUGCUGGUGGGAAGGAUUUAUCAUCGGCAUAGGUUUCAAUUUUUUCCAUUUUGUCACAUACAUUUUUCUAAUUGAUGGUUUAUUCUCAUUAAAUAGAAUUCUUUCUAGUAGUUUGGCACUUGCUGGAUCUCCCCAUGAUUCUUCCUGCUGUCAGUUUCAACACAUUUACGUCUGGGUGUAGACUCUUGCCUUCAUCCAUAGAUAGAAGAUCAUAUUGUAGAGGCAAUGUUUUCACUCUUCCUUUGGAUAAGCUCAGGAGAGUUGUUUACCAUCCCUGUCUUUGCCAUUUUGGUGUAAUCAGGAUGGAACCUGUCUUGUGGUACAUUAUCUUUUUCACCACCUGUGUGAUAAAGGGGAAUUGGUGGAUACAUGCAACAGAAUGCCCUGUCCCAUGUGAGCAUAAAUGAAUCCCACAGAGAUUCUCUCCUUAUGCCUGAGAGUUUGCAGUACUGUCACAUUUCCUAUUCUCUGGAGACACAAAUAAAUCUAUCUCUGGAGUCCCCAAUGUGUUGAGUAUCUCUUGUAAAUAUUUAGGGUGGAUACUCUACUCAUGGAUGUUCAACUUGGUCACAUCUCCACUCAAGAUGUCUACUUCUAUGUUCUGUACCCCUUGAUAUGUAUCACAAUUGGGUGAAUUUUAUAGUCUGUUCGCCAGUUCCAAAACUGCAUUGCUAGACUGCAUAACAGGUGGGGCACUGUUCUCCACCCCCAGUUGUUCAUGCAUGCUAUUGCAGUAGUGUUGUCCAUUACUACUUGGAACUUCCCCCCUACAAUAGAGGCCUGAAGGCUUUAAGUGCAAGGAAGAAGCUAAAGGUUCUAAUAUGUGUAUAUGUAGUUUGUUGAUUUCUGUUGAUUUUCUGUCCACUUUCCACUCACUUGAUGCGCUUGGCAAUGUGCUCCCCAUCCUGUUUUCAAAACAUUUGAGGUCACUAUCACCUCUGGAAACACGGGCUGAAAAUUGCAUACCUGUGGUCAAAAUCUCAUCAUUUCUCCACCAUAGGAGGGACUUCGUGGGUUGCAUUUUGGAUUUCUUGUGGCUGAUCUUUAUGCCUAAAUCAAGUGAUAAGGACAUCAUUUCCUCUAAAUCUCAUUGUAAUUGGUCCAGAGGAUGAGCCAUCAAUAACCAAAUUAUCUAGAUACAGAAAAGUUGCAUCCCACUUCCUUUCAAGUAUGCAACUGUGACUGCCAUACACUUGGUAAACACCCUUGGGUGUUGGAAAUUUUGAGGGGUGGUAUUGAUACACCUGGUUUCCCACAGGGAACUGUAGGUACUUGUGAUGUGGUCAAAUUAUAUGGAAAUACACAUCCUUCAAGUCUGUGGCCACAAGCCAUCUGUUUUCCCUGCUAACUCAGCAAAAAGGCACCUUUUAAAGUGAUGAUUCACUUAUAUUUAGCAGGGAGAGAGCAACUGGCCCUAUCCAACCCCAGCAUAACAUCCCUCUAGUGGCUGUUGCUGGUAUCUGCCCCCCCUUUUUUUUUAAGAUUGUGAGCCCUUUGGGGACAGGCAACCAUCUUAUGUAUUAUUUAUUUUCCUAUGCAAACUGCUUUGAGAAAUUUGUUUAAGAGGUGUAUAUAAGAAGAAGUGGAAGUAGUGGAAGUAUGGCCAGUAUUGAGAUCAUUCUGAAUUUUGUAGUUUGUAUCAAUUUGUUCAGUGUUUAUGAAUACAAGAUUGGGCAAACACCCCCACCCUUCUGUAGUAUCUGAAAGUACCUUGAAUAGAAUCCCCCUAUCCAUUGAUUUGGGGAAACUUGCUCUAUGGCAUCUUUCUGUAAAAGUGUUAUUUCCUCUAAUAAGGUUGGAGUUGGUUGGGUAUAUCUGAUACCCUGAAAAACUGGUUUUAUGUGAAACUCUAUGCGCAUGACCAUUCUAAACAAUGCAAAGUACCCAUUUGUCUGUUAUCCGUUCUCAUACCGAGCAGUGGUCUGCUAUGAAUGGGACUUCUGUCAGAAGGGUCUGAAGGUGCUGCUCAUUUCCUACUGGACCUGGACAAAGAGGCAUAAUCAAUAACCAAAUAAUUUGGAGACUGGUGUUUAAAGAGAUAUGCACAGUUUUCCUCCUGAACUUUAAACAUAUUCUCCAAUCUUCUGGAGGUAGGGGCAGUACUAGAUGGUUUCUGCUACACUUGUUUGGAGGCCUGCAGUAAUACAAAAGUAUUGGUUGUCAAGUCUUUGCAGUUUGCAAGGAUUUAAACACUGGGUACUGGACCUCUUCUUCCACCUGCUUUAGUUCUAAACUCAGUACUUGCCAUAUCUAUUAUCAGAGUAUGGUAAUUUUCAUUUUCUUCCUUUGGAGAAUCCAAAAACUUUUUCAGAACUUUAUCAUUGGGUGAUGGUUCAGAUGGCGACUCAGUGCAUUCAAAUUUACCUUCAGAAUGUCAAGGAUUCCCCUUCCUCAGAAUUUCCUUGUUCACUUUUCUCCUCCUCUGCUAUCUUCUCUGGCUGGUCUUCAUGUGGAGAACUAGAGGAAGUGGAAACUGUUGUUUUCAUUUGGGUAGUAGUUGCUGUCACUAGUUUGGUCAUUGCCGAAGCAGUAGCAACCUUUACAUCUGAUUUUGUGCCUGUUGUAAUAUGUGAUGCACAGGCUGUAGCUGAGGAUGAAGUUAUAGUGUGGAUCACAAUAUGUGGCUGAGGAGGUCUGACAUCUAGUGGACACCAACAUGCCCUCAUCUUUUUGGUACAUCUUCUGUAUAGUUUAAUAAAAUACAUCUGUGGUUCAUAUUUCCUAUUUGGAAUGUAGUAGUCCAAUUAAUUCAAAUGGGGAAUAUGGAGUGUAUAUUCUUCUGUAAGUGAUUGUGUGUUGAUCUUUAGGGGGGGAUAAUCAUAUUACCUUCUGCCAUGCACACACCAUGCUAAUGGAGCUGGUCUCACAGGGCUGCAUUGGUAUGGAUGCACUCUGAAUGUCUGUUCUUGUUUUGAGUUAUACAUCCCGCCCCUCUACUGGUGAUCUAUAUGGAGCAGGUGGCAUUAAAGGGAUGCUCUUGAAUUUCUAUCACCCCCUUAUCAUAUCCCAUGUCACCUCCCAGUGAAUAUGUUGGAGAAUGGGGAUAUUCUCUGGUGUGUACUGUGACCUUUGGCACUGCUGGCGUUCU
Molecule: long non-coding RNA, 11229 nt
Organism: Hemicordylus capensis (graceful crag lizard)
Lineage: Eukaryota; Metazoa; Chordata; Lepidosauria; Squamata; Cordylidae
Exons: 3
Source: RefSeq, a predicted model, not a curated record